AGCAGCCGCGGUAAUUCCAGCUCCAAUAGCGUAUAUUAAAGUUGUUGCAGUUAAAAAGCUCGUAGUUGAAUUUCGGGGUUAGUAGGUUGGUCAUGCCUCUGGUAUGUACUGGUCUCACUGAUUCCUCCUUCCUGAUGAACCGUAAUGCCAUUAAUUUGGUGUUGCGGGGAAUUUGGACUGUUACUUUGAAAAAAUUAGAGUGUUUAAAGCAAGCUAACGCUUGAAUACAUUAGCAUGGAAUAAUGAAAUCGGACGUUCGAUCCUAUUUUGUUGGUUUCUAGGAUUGACGUAAUGAUUAAUAGGGAUAGUUGGGGGCAUUAGUAUUCAAUUGUCAGAGGUGAAAUUCUUGGAUUUAUUGAAGACUAACUACUGCGAAAGCAUUUGCCCAGGAUGUUUUCAUUAAUCAAGAACGAAGUUAGGGGAUCGAAGACGAUCAGAUACCGUCGUAGUCUUAACCCAUAAACCUAUGCCGACUAGGGAUCGGAUGAUGUUAAUUUUUUAAUG
RNAcentral lists this ribosomal RNA (504 nucleotides) under uncultured Glomus. Its description in RNAcentral is "SSU rRNA". It matches the Rfam family "Eukaryotic small subunit ribosomal RNA", at positions 569 to 1076 of the family's 1831-position model. The record is from RNAcentral. Lineage: Eukaryota; Fungi; Glomeromycota; Glomeromycetes; Glomerales; Glomeraceae.